UACGUAGGGUGCAAGCGUUAAUCGGAAUUACUGGGCGUAAAGCGUGCGCAGGCGGUUUUGUAAGUCUGACGUGAAAGCCCCGGGCUUAACCUGGGAAUUGCGUUGGAGACUGCAAGGCUUGAAUCUGGCAGAGGGGGGUAGAAUUCCACGUGUAGCAGGUGAAAUGCGUAGAGAUGUGGAGGAACACCGAUGGCGAAGGCAGCCCCCUGGGUCAAGAUUGACGCUCGAUGCACGAAAGCGUGGGGAGCAAACAGGA
Molecule: ribosomal RNA, 256 nt
Filed under: uncultured bacterium
Lineage: Bacteria
Description: partial 16S ribosomal RNA
Rfam family: Bacterial small subunit ribosomal RNA
Source: RNAcentral